This 879-nucleotide ribosomal RNA is filed under the name Triticum aestivum (bread wheat). RNAcentral's name for it is "partial small subunit ribosomal RNA". Lineage: Eukaryota; Viridiplantae; Streptophyta; Magnoliopsida; Poales; Poaceae. The record is from RNAcentral.
UUGCUUAAAAUUGACUUGGACAGGGCUUUUGAUCACCUUGAAUGGAACUUCAUAGUCUCUGCUCUUUCUCUCAAAGGGUUGCAUGGUCAUUUUAUAAACUUGGUUUACGCUUGCAUCUCUUCCCCAAGUUUCUCUGUCAUUAUCAAUCAACCUUUCGCCAACUUUCGUAGUAACAGAGAUAUAAGACAAGGAUGUCCUUUAUCGCCUUAUCUUUUUGUCCUUGCUAUUAAUGAACUUUCUUUAAGCUUACAUGAUGCUAUGGUCCAGAAUUGCUUGUUCGGGAUCUCUCUUGGUCCAGACUGUCCUCCUAUUCACUCAAUGCUUUUUGCUGAUGAUUUGUUGGUCUAUGGCAAUGCUACGGUGCAGGACGCUAACCAGAUGGCCAAUCUCAUCAACCGUUUCUGCUGUCUUUCCAGGCAGACUCCAAACUGGGACAAGUCUUUUCUUUUGUUUAGCGCCAACGUUUCCCAACCUUUAGCUCAACAAAUCACUCAUAUAUUCCAUGUUCCUCUUGUUGAUGGUGCAUCUACUCAUCUUGGCCACCCAUUAAUCCUCCCAUCUAAUGAUCAUGCUUCCGCUUAUAACUUUGUUUUUGAUAAAUUUAAGAAUAAGCUUCCCACUUACAAGGCAGAUAAACUAUCACAUGCCGCCAGACUUGAGCUUAUCACUUCUGUGUUUGCAUCCAUCCCUAUCUACUAUAUGUCCAACAUACUUUUUUCUAAAAAAAUCCUUACAAAGCUCACUGUUGUCAUUCAUAAUUUUUGGUGGGUAGGAGUCAGAGAGGAGGCUGGUUCAAAAGCUUUAUUCGUAAGGGCCUGGAAAGACAUUUGCACACCUAAAAAGGAGGGGGGUUGGGUAUCAAAAACAUGCUUGCAAUGA